CAGUAGCCGCGGUAAUACGUAGGGUGCGAGCGUUAAUCGGAAUUACUGGGCGUAAAGCGUGCGCAGGCGGUUGUGUAAGACAGGUGUGAAAUCCCCGGGCUUAACCUGGGAACUGCGCUUGUGACUGCACAGCUAGAGUAUGGCAGAGGGGGGUGGAAUUCCACGUGUAGCAGUGAAAUGCGUAGAGAUGUGGAGGAACACCGAUGGCGAAGGCAGCCCCCUGGGCCAAUACUGACGCUCAUGCACGAAAGCGUGGGGAGCAAACAGGAUUAGAUACCCCCGUAGUCCCUGUCUCUUAUAA
This 301-nucleotide ribosomal RNA is filed under the name uncultured bacterium. RNAcentral's name for it is "partial 16S ribosomal RNA". It matches the Rfam family "Bacterial small subunit ribosomal RNA", at positions 509 to 809 of the family's 1533-position model. The record is from RNAcentral.